UACGAAGGGGGCUAGCGUUGCUCGGAAUCACUGGGCGUAAAGGGCGCGUAGGCGGCCAUUCAAGUCAGGGGUGAAAGCCUGUGGCUCAACCACAGAAUUGCCUUUGAUACUGUUUGGCUAGAGACCGGAAGAGGUAAGUGGAACUGCGAGUGUAGAGGUGAAAUUCGUAGAUAUUCGCAAGAACACCAGUGGCGAAGGCGGCGACCUGGGCCAAUACUGACGCUGAGGUGCGAAAGCGUGGGGAGCAAACAGG
RNAcentral lists this ribosomal RNA (253 nucleotides) under uncultured bacterium. RNAcentral describes it as "partial 16S ribosomal RNA". It matches the Rfam family "Bacterial small subunit ribosomal RNA", at positions 524 to 776 of the family's 1533-position model. The record is from RNAcentral.